GGGAUGUUGGCUCAGUGGUAGAGUGCUUGCCUCCCAUGCAUGAGGCCGUGGGUUUGAAUCCUUAGCAUCACA
Dipodomys ordii (Ord's kangaroo rat) is the source of this 72-nucleotide non-coding RNA. Lineage: Eukaryota; Metazoa; Chordata; Mammalia; Rodentia; Heteromyidae. The record is from Rfam.